This is a non-coding RNA of Pelobates cultripes (western spadefoot toad), 84 nucleotides long. The record is from the annotation of a GenBank genome assembly. NCBI's taxonomy places the organism in Eukaryota, Metazoa, Chordata, Amphibia, Anura, Pelobatidae.
ACAGAAUUGCACAUUGGAACACAUUGUUUAUAUAUACAAAAUAUAUGAUAUAUAUAAACAAUGUGUUCCGAUGUGCAAUUCUGU